Molecule: unclassified non-coding RNA, 339 nt
Filed under: soil metagenome
Description: partial contains 5.8S ribosomal RNA, internal transcribed spacer 2, and large subunit ribosomal RNA
Rfam family: 5.8S ribosomal RNA (bases 1-120)
Source: RNAcentral
GAUGAAGAACGUAGCGAAAUGCGAUACGUAGUGUGAAUUGCAAAAUUCAGUGAAUCAUCGAAUCUUUGAACGCACAUUGCACCUCUCGGUAUUCCGGGAGGUAUGCCUGUUCGAGCGUCAUUUGUACCCUCAAGCUCUGCUUGGUGUUGGGUGUUUGUUCCGCCUCUGUGUGUGAACUCGCCUCAAAACAAUUGGCAGCCGGCGUACUUGUUUCGGAGCGCAGCACAUUUUGCGAUCCAGAUCAACGUACAGCGGCAUCCAAGAAGCCUUAUUUAACGCUCUUGACCUCGGAUCAGGUAGGGAUACCCGCUGAACUUAAGCAUAUCAAUAAGCGGAGGA